UAGGGAAUCUUCCACAAUGGGCGCAAGCCUGAUGGAGCAACACCGCGUGAGUGAAGAAGGGUUUCGGCUCGUAAAGCUCUGUUGUUAAAGAAGAACAGUAUGAGAGUAACUGUUCAUACGUUGACGGUAUUUAACCAGAAAGUCACGGCUAACUACGUGCCAC
RNAcentral lists this ribosomal RNA (163 nucleotides) under uncultured bacterium. Its description in RNAcentral is "partial 16S rRNA". It matches the Rfam family "Bacterial small subunit ribosomal RNA", at positions 355 to 511 of the family's 1533-position model. The record is from RNAcentral.